Molecule: transfer RNA, 74 nt
Filed under: Clostridiales bacterium
Lineage: Bacteria; Bacillati; Bacillota; Clostridia; Eubacteriales
Description: tRNA-Arg
Rfam family: tRNA
About the family: Transfer RNA (tRNA) molecules are approximately 80 nucleotides in length.
Source: RNAcentral
GCGCCCGUAGCUCAACUGGAUAGAGCGCGUGGCUACGGACCACGAGGUUGUGGGUUCAAACCCUGUCGGGCGCG